UGUUUGUGUAUGUACAAUUUCCUGAAGAUUCCUUUACACAGAGGACAUGCGGAAACAUUGUUCUCUUUACCUAUUUCACAUCAAAAAGGAAACGGGAAGGCUAUUCUCGGAAAUAAAAUCAAUACAAAUUUGGACACUUUGAAAGACAAAACAAGAAAAACGACGUUUUGAUUUCGCAGAACAAUCGAAGAUAAUCCUCCAUUUUUGAGGUCAGCAAGAUAACCUCAGGAUUCUGUUUAAGAAUGUAUACGGUUCAUUCCGCAGUAGCACUUAGUAUAUCGCUAUCAUGUGGUCCAAACGUCUUUUGGUGAUCUUCUUUUGUCUGAUCUUCGUGUUCCUGCAAAUCGACUGCAGGCCACCUACGGCUACGUCGAGCGGAACCGCCGAUGAUGAUAACUCCACCGCGGCUGUGAACGCAACAGGAAAACACAAAGCGGUCAUGGGCAGAUUUAUCGCUGUUAAAUGCAAGGAUGGAUUCGUUAAAGUUGGCAACACCUGCAGGCAGGCGCAGUCCUGAGAAGGACCCGCCGAAACCUACACCAGCAGUUGAGGUGCCUUACCUUACGGAAUAACAUUAAUAAUAAGGAGUUUUAUGUUUAUUGUUAAAUUAAUAUUCUAAAUCAAAAUAUAUGAACUGUAUGUACGUUA
This is a long non-coding RNA of Photinus pyralis (common eastern firefly), 648 nucleotides long. RefSeq lists it as uncharacterized. The transcript is spliced from 3 exons. The record is from RefSeq and is a predicted model, not a curated record. NCBI's taxonomy places the organism in Eukaryota, Metazoa, Arthropoda, Insecta, Coleoptera, Lampyridae.